Molecule: ribosomal RNA, 775 nt
Filed under: uncultured Neocallimastigales
Lineage: Eukaryota; Fungi; Neocallimastigomycota; Neocallimastigomycetes; Neocallimastigales
Description: partial large subunit ribosomal RNA
Rfam family: Eukaryotic large subunit ribosomal RNA
Source: RNAcentral
UGUACACGCUGUGACUAGCAUAUCAAUAAGCGGAGGAAAAGAAACUAACAAGGAUUCCCCUAGUAACGGCGAGUGAAGCGGGAAGAGCUCAAAUUUGAAAUCUUAAAGGGUUUCCCUUUACGAAUUGUAGUUUAAAGAAGUGUUUUCUGUUGAGGUUUUGGUAAAAGUUCUUUGGAAUAGGACAUCAUAGAGGGUGAGAAUCCCGUAUUUGACCUUUACUUUCAACUUUGUGAUACACUUUCAAAGAGUCGGAUUGUUUGGGAAUGCAGUCCAAAAUGGGUGGUAAAUUUCAUCUAAAGCUAAAUAUUGGCGAGAGACCGAUAGCGAACAAGUACCGUGAGGGAAAGAUGAAAAGAACUUUGAAAAGAGAGUUAAACAGUACGUGAAAUUGUCAAAAGGGAAGCGUUUGACACCAGUGUUGUUUUCCUGAAAAUCAAUUAAAGAACUGUUUAUGCUAAGCUGUUUAGACUUUAUCAGCUAACUGUUUAGUUUUGAGCUUUUCUUUAAUGCACUUUUCAGUUAACAAGUCAACAUCAAUUUCUUUUGCUGUAAAAAAGCUUGAGGAAGGUGGCUUGAGAUUCGUCUUAAGUGUUUAUAGCCUCUUGCCUAUGCAGUCGGAGAGAUUGAGGUCUGCAGCGUAGAUCCUUCGGGGCUAAAUGCAUUUGUGCUAAGUUAUAGCAUUUUAUAGACAACUUGUUGACUAUGAUUUGUCUUGUAGCUUACUCGCUUAUGUUAUUUUACCUACGCUUAGGAUGUUGAGUCGUAGAGCACGCAG